UCCCUGGUGGCUCAGAUGGUAAAGAAUCUGCCUGCAAUGCAGGAGAGCUGGGUUCAAUCCCUGGUUUGGGAA
This is a transfer RNA of Ovis aries (sheep), 72 nucleotides long. It matches the Rfam family "tRNA". Rfam says of the family: Transfer RNA (tRNA) molecules are approximately 80 nucleotides in length. Their secondary structure includes four short double-helical elements and three loops (D, anti-codon, and T loops). Further hydrogen bonds mediate the characteristic L-shaped molecular structure. tRNAs have two regions of fundamental functional importance: the anti-codon, which is responsible for specific mRNA codon recognition, and the 3' end, to which the tRNAs corresponding amino acid is attached (by aminoacyl-tRNA synthetases). tRNAs cope with the degeneracy of the genetic code in two manners: having more than one tRNA (with a specific anti-codon) for a particular amino acid; and 'wobble' base-pairing, i.e. permitting non-standard base-pairing at the 3rd anti-codon position. The record is from Rfam. NCBI's taxonomy places the organism in Eukaryota, Metazoa, Chordata, Mammalia, Artiodactyla, Bovidae.